AGAACGAACGCUGGCGGCAUGCCUAACACAUGCAAGUCGAACGUGAUCCAGGCUUCGGCCUGGUGAAAGUGGCAGACGGGUGAGUAACGCGUGGGAACCUGCCCUGUGGUAGGGAAUAACCGUGGGAAACUGCGGCUAAUACCCUAUGAGUCCUUCGGGAGAAAGAUUUAUCGCCAUAGGAGGGGCCCGCGUCGGAUUAGGUAGUUGGUGGGGUAACGGCCUACCAAGCCUUCGAUCCGUAGCUGGUCUGAGAGGAUGAUCAGCCACACUGGGACUGAGAUACGGCCCAGACUCCUACGGGAGGCAGCAGUGGGGAAUAUUGGACAAUGGGGGGCAACCCUGAUCCAGCAAUGCCGCGUGGAUGAUGAAGGCCUUCGGGUUGUAAAGUCCUUUCGGCGGGGAAGAUGAUGACGGUACCCGCGAGAAGAAGCCCCGGCUAACUUCGACGCCAGCAGCCGC
Molecule: ribosomal RNA, 459 nt
Filed under: uncultured bacterium
Lineage: Bacteria
Description: SSU rRNA
Rfam family: Bacterial small subunit ribosomal RNA
Source: RNAcentral